This 180-nucleotide ribosomal RNA is filed under the name uncultured bacterium. RNAcentral describes it as "partial 16S ribosomal RNA". It matches the Rfam family "Bacterial small subunit ribosomal RNA", at positions 1143 to 1320 of the family's 1533-position model. The record is from RNAcentral.
CGGGGACCGCCGGGGUCGAACUCGGAGGAAGGUGGGGAUGACGUCAGAUCAUCAUGCCCCUUACGUCCAGGGCUUCACGCAUGCUACAAUGGCCGGUACAACGGGAUGCGACCUCGUGAGGGGGAGACGGAUCCCUUAAAACCGGUCUCAGUUCGGAUUGGAGUCUGCAACCCGACUCCA